UGUCUAAGUUUUGCUCCAAGUGCUGGUUCUUGAUUCAUUUCGGUUCAAAUACAUGUGAAUAAAUAUUACAAAAUGUUUUCAAAGAAAUAUGUGUUGAAUAUGUAUCAAAAACAGAUUUUACUCAGUUUGUCAAUAAUGUCAUCUCUACUAAUAAGGUAACAACUGAUUGGUUCUCACAGAGGAAACUACACUGCAAACAAGAUGCAGAGGAAGGAACAGAAGAAGACACAGAGGAAAAGUGUACCAUCUGUUUGUCUAUAUUGGAGGAAGGUGAAGAUGUCAGGCGCCUUCCGUGUAUGCACCUUUUCCACCAAGUCUGUGUAGAUCAGUGGUUGAUUACUAACAAGAAGUGCCCCAUUUGCAGAGUGGACAUUGAGGCUCAGCUGCCCAGUGAAAGUUGACACUGCUUUCCAGAACUCUUGUCCUCCCGCUCGCUCCCUCUCAUCCCUCCUGGUACUGCAGUCAACCAAAGAUGGCACGACUUACCUGCGCAGAUUUGGAACAUUGAACCUUAGAGUGCUGGCUCUGCUACAUGGUACAACUAAUGCUAGACCUACAGUUUAUUGUAGAAGACAGUUGAGUUUCUUUCAGUGUAUUUAUAAUUUUUUCUAAAUUUAUUUUUUUUUUUUUUAGGUUUUACAUUUUUUUUCUUUCAAUUCAUUACUGUAUUUUUGCAUGGUUCCUUGUAUUGCAUUUGUUUGCACAUAUUAUGGGCUUUGUGACCCCAAACUUGCAGGCAAGAUUAGCUGCUUUAGUAAGUAGAAUUGUGUGGUCUCUUUCUUUUGGUUUGUUUUAUGUAGUAUCAAGCUUUGAAAGUAUGAUUUCACUCAUUACUAACCUCGAAUUCCUUAAUUUAAUCAAUCAUAUAUUUUAGUUUAAAUGUAUAAAGAUCAUCUAGAAAAGGAUAAUAUUAUGUAUUGAGACAUUCCUUAAUUAGGAAAAAAUGGCUGCUGUAUAUUUACAAUAUCAGUUCUGAGUCAAAUAACAUCCUUAAUACUGGGAACAGAAUAUGGACUAUAUUCAGUUUGACUGAUACAUAUAGCAUACUCAUCACCAGAGUUUUUGUCUGAUCAGAUUUUUGUGUUUGUUUCUAAAAUUUCAGCACAAUGCAGAUAUAUUUGAAUGUCAAUAUUAAACAUUUAGACUGCUGUUCAGAUUGUAUUUAUCAUUUUCUUCUAUGUCUAGAAAUUUGAAUCCCUAACUUAAAUAUAUGCUGCUGUGAAACAGCUCUAGUGAACACUAAAUGUUGAUUUCAGUUAGCUGGAUUGUAGAUACUUGCAGAUUGAAAGACUUAUUAGGGAAAUGGAAAAGAAGCUUAGAAUCUGUUUGGUCUUCUGCUAACUUAAGUUGAAGUAUCUGCGCACAUUGAGGGUUGUUUUUUUUUCCUUUUGUUUUUGUUUUUGUUUUUUUUUCCUUUUUGUUGUUGUUGCUGUUUGGGUUUUGUUGUUGGUUUGUGGUUUUUUUUAAUAUAAAACCAUUCAGUAAGGACUUAAAGCUGCAGGGUUUUUGUUUGGGUUUAUAUACAUGCAUUCAUAGAAUUUCUAAGGAUUCCAGGCGUGUCUUGGGAUUUUUAUUAGAUUUAAAGUUAAUAAAGUUAGCUAAAUCCACUUGUCUCUUGUUUUUAUUUUUCAUUAGUAAAUUGAAAGCCUGUAAAUUUCUGUAGAAACUGAGACACAAAUUAUGUGGUUACCUAGUUUUUGCCUUGAUCAUAGAUUCCCUCUUUAUAAAUUACCAACAGUCCAUCACUGAUUGAAGUAUUUUCUAUAGUUAAGAUUUGCUGCAUAAUAUAGUAUAUAGAAUUAAGUUAUAAUGUACUAACGUUUUGCCUUUGGAGGAGGUUUUAAUCCACUUCAGGAUCCAAGUUGCUCAUCAACAUUCUUUCACAUAUAAUAGAUUAUAGUUUAUUUAAAUGUGCUCAGCAUUGCAAAAUGCAAAUGUGCAAAAACAUUGGGACAGUAUUUACUGUCACUUUGGAAAAGAUGUUCCUCGGGGAUCAUAGAUAAAUCAGCUUGCAUUAAGCCACCUGCUUUGUAAGUGGAUUGAAUAUUAAAUACUUUCAGUUUCUCUUG
This is a long non-coding RNA of Lepidothrix coronata (blue-crowned manakin), 2069 nucleotides long. RefSeq lists it as uncharacterized. The transcript is spliced from 2 exons. NCBI's taxonomy places the organism in Eukaryota, Metazoa, Chordata, Aves, Passeriformes, Pipridae. The record is from RefSeq and is a predicted model, not a curated record.